UGGUCGAGUCGGUUUGCGCGGAAGAUUUAACGGGGCUAAAACUACAUACCGAAGCUACGGAUCGCAAUUUAUUGCGAUGGUAGGAGAGCGUUCUGUAAGCCGUUGAAGGUGAACUAUGAGGUUUGCUGGAGGUAUCAGAAGUGCGAAUGCUGACAUGAGUAACGAUAAAGGGGGUGAAAAACCCCCUCGCCAGAAGUCCAAGGUUUCCUACGCAACGUUAAUCGGCGUAGGGUUAGUCGGUCCCUAAGGCGAGGCAGAAAUGCGUAGUCGAUGGGAAAUGGGUUAAUAUUCCCAUACUUCAUAUAACUGCGAUGGGAAGACGGAGAAGGUUAACGCAGCUUGGCGCUGGUUGUCCAAGUUCAAGCGUGUAGAGUAGGUUUUUAGGAAAAUCCGGGAAUCUUAGAUUUAGUUCUAAAGCUCAAGGCGUGAUAACGAACCCUCUUUUGGGAAAAGUGCGUGAUACCAUGCUUUCAGGAAAAUCCUCUAAGCUUCAGGUUAUAUGAAACCGUACCCCAAACCGACACAGGUGGACGAGAUGAGAAUUCUAAGGCGCUUGAGAGAACUCGGGUGAAGGAACUAGGCAAAAUGACACCGUAACUUCGGGAGAAGGUGUGCUCUUGCCGGUAAUUUUACUUGCUAAAUGAGCUGAUAAGAGUUGAAGAUACCAGGUAGCUCCGACUGUUUAUUAAAAACACAGCACUCUGCAAACACGUAAGUGGACGUAUAGGGUGUGACGCCUGCCCGGUGCUUGAAGGUUAAUUGAUGAGGUUAGGAUUCGUUCGAAGCUUUUGAUUGAAGCCCAAGUAAACGGCGGCCGUAACUAUAACGGUCCUAAGGUAGCGAAAUUCCUUGUCGGGUAAGUUCCGACCUGCACGAAUGGCGUAACGAGGGCUACACUGUCUCCACCCGAGACUCAGUGAAAUUGAAAUUGCUGUUAAGAUGCAGUAUACCCACGGCCAGACGGAAAGACCCCGUGCACCUUUACUACAGCUUUGCAUUGAACUCGGAUCCUACCUGGGUAGGAUAGGUGGGAGGCUUUGAAACU
RNAcentral lists this ribosomal RNA (1045 nucleotides) under gamma proteobacterium symbiont of Isorropodon megadesmus. RNAcentral's name for it is "bacterial LSU rRNA". It matches the Rfam family "Bacterial large subunit ribosomal RNA", at positions 1146 to 2164 of the family's 2925-position model. Lineage: Bacteria; Pseudomonadati; Pseudomonadota; Gammaproteobacteria. The record is from RNAcentral.